UGCAUCUGAAGCCUGACGAGGAUGAGAACCUCCGGGGGCAAGAGGUUCGACUCGAGCGCAGCGAGAGAACGUUGCGUCAGCAACGGCCCGCAGGGC
Molecule: small RNA, 96 nt
Filed under: Salmonella enterica
Lineage: Bacteria; Pseudomonadati; Pseudomonadota; Gammaproteobacteria; Enterobacterales; Enterobacteriaceae
Also listed under: 3 other names
Description: partial RtT sRNA
Rfam family: RtT RNA
About the family: This family represents a bacterial cis-regulatory element known as RtT RNA. The exact function of RtT is unknown although it is thought that it may be involved in changing the cellular response in relation to amino acid starvation.
Source: RNAcentral